This is a long non-coding RNA of Oreochromis aureus, 561 nucleotides long. NCBI's taxonomy places the organism in Eukaryota, Metazoa, Chordata, Actinopteri, Cichliformes, Cichlidae. The record is from Ensembl.
UUUUGAGGGUAGAAAGAAAGUUUUCAGAAGACAAAAGAAAAGAGAAAAGAAAUGAGGGAACAAGAAUAUUCAGAGAACUUGGAAGCAAAUGGAUAAAAAUCAGGAAACAAAAUGGAUUAAACUGAAUCUAAAGGUCAUGUGAUCAGCAGACUAAGCAGAGAUGCCCAGACCUCCCCUUUCUCCACAUCCAAUUCUUCAUGGGUGAUGACCAAGGCAGCCGACAGGCACACCGAAAGGAAAUUACACUGUUUACUUUUCUGCCCUUCAAAUAGUGGCUGUGUGUUUGGGACGAUUGUCCUGCUGAAACGUCCACCUUUGUUCCAUCUUCAUCCUCCUGGUAGAUGGCUGCAAGCAUGUCUUGGCACAUUUUCCCAUUCAUCCUUCCUUCAAUUAUAUGAAGCAUGCCAGUGCAGUAUGCUGACAAAGCACCAUAAUACUUUAGAAAUUAUUCUUUAUAUUUUCAGUAAAAAGCUGCAAAGGUCUUGAUAGAGCUCACUGGCUUUACCCAUCAUGAGAUGUUUCUUGUGUGACACCCUGGUAAUGAGACACCUUUUCAUAGGC